Molecule: ribosomal RNA, 429 nt
Filed under: Chloroflexota bacterium
Lineage: Bacteria; Bacillati; Chloroflexota
Description: Chloroflexi bacterium partial 16S ribosomal RNA
Rfam family: Bacterial small subunit ribosomal RNA
Source: RNAcentral
UGGGGAAUAUUGCACAAUGGGCGCAAGCCUGAUGCAGCCAUGCCGCGUGUGUGAAGAAGGCGUUCGGGUUGUAAAGCACUUUCAGCGGGGAGGAAGGCGAUAAGGUUAAUAACCUUGUCGAUUGACGUUACCCGCAGAAGAAGCACCGGCUAACUCCGUGCCAGCAGCCGCGGUAAUACGGAGGGUGCAAGCGUUAAUCGGAAUUACUGGGCGUAAAGCGCACGCAGGCGGUCUGUCAAGUCGGAUGUGAAAUCCCCGGGCUUAACCUGGGAACUGCAUUCGAAACUGGCAGGCUAGAGUCUUGUAGAGGGGGGUAGAAUUCCAGGUGUAGCGGUGAAAUGCGUAGAGAUCUGGAGGAAUACCGGUGGCGAAGGCGGCCCCCUGGACAAAGACUGACGCUCAGGUGCGAAAGCGUGGGGAGCAAACAGG